Molecule: ribosomal RNA, 468 nt
Filed under: uncultured bacterium
Lineage: Bacteria
Description: partial 16S ribosomal RNA
Rfam family: Bacterial small subunit ribosomal RNA
Source: RNAcentral
GAUGAACGCUGGCGGCGUGCUUAACACAUGCAAGUCGAACGGAACGGCCCAAGCUUGCUUGGGUCGUCGAGUGGAGAACGGGUGAGUAACACGUGGGUUAUCUGCCAUGCACUUCGGGAUAAGCCUGGGAAACUGGGUCUAAUACCGGGAAGGACGAUGGGUUUGUUGCCAUUGCGGCAAGUUUUUUCGGUGUGGGCUGAGCUCGUGGCCUAUCAGGUUGUUGGUGUGGUACUGGGCUACCAAGGCGUCGAGGGGUAGCCGGCCGGAGAGAGUGUACGGCCACAUGGCACAGUAGAUACGGGCCACGCUCCUACGGGAGGCAGCAGGGGGGAAUAUGGCACAAUGCGCGAUGGCCGGAUGCAGCAACGCCGCGUGGGGGGUGACUGCCGUCGGGUUGUAGAUUCCAAUCGCCAUGGACGAGGCGUUUUUGUGACGGUACCUGGAGAAGAAGCACCGGCUAACUACGUG